AGUGAACGCUGGCGGUAGGCCUAACACAUGCAAGUCGAACGGCAGCACAGUAAGAGCUUGCUCUUACGGGUGGCGAGUGGCGGACGGGUGAGGAAUACAUCUGAAUCUACUUUUUCGUGGGGGAUAACGUAGGGAAACUUACGCUAAUACCGCAUACGACCUACGGGUGAAAGCAGGGGAUCUUCGGACCUUGCGCGAUUGAAUGAGCCGAUGUCGGAUUAGCUAGUUGGCGGGGUAAAGGCCCACCAAGGCGACGAUCCGUAGCUGGUCUGAGAGGAUGAUCAGCCACACUGGAACUGAGACACGGUCCAGACUCCUACGGGAGGCAGCAGUGGGGAAUAUUGGACAAUGGGCGCAAGCCUGAUCCAGCCAUACCGCGUUGGUGAAGAAGGCCUUCGGGUUGUAAAGCCCUUUUGUUGGGAAAGAAAAGCAGCAGGUUAAUACCCCGCUGUUCUGACGGUACCCAAAGAAUAAGCACCGGCUAACUUCGUG
RNAcentral lists this ribosomal RNA (492 nucleotides) under uncultured bacterium. RNAcentral describes it as "partial 16S ribosomal RNA". It matches the Rfam family "Bacterial small subunit ribosomal RNA", at positions 29 to 507 of the family's 1533-position model. The record is from RNAcentral.